RNAcentral lists this long non-coding RNA (2457 nucleotides) under Salmo salar (Atlantic salmon). RNAcentral's name for it is "lncRNA (ENSSSAG00000089557.1, ENSSSAG00000090210.1)". Lineage: Eukaryota; Metazoa; Chordata; Actinopteri; Salmoniformes; Salmonidae. The record is from RNAcentral.
UACCAGUCGAAGAGAGAGGAUGACAAAACUGUUGUAGGAGUUAUAGGUCGAUAGCUUGUCUGCACAGGAGAUUAACAGAAAAAACACCAUUCAAGAGGAGGGAAUUAGAAGGAAAUACAGAAUCCUCCAAGCAGGAUUUCUGGAAAAACAGUCGAGCUUGUUCCCUGGCCAGUAUCACCAGAAUCAGGGCUUGUCCAGGGACAGGCAGAUCCACAGAGGCCCCAGCACCACCAGUCUGAUAACACAGGAAUGCUAUGAAGAGUGGGGAGGACCUUAUUCUGCAGGAAGUUAGGGCUACUAUCUGAGGACCUGAGCCCUAGGACCAUGCCUCAAGACUACCUGGCCUGACGAAUUCUGGCUGUUCACGUCCCCAGUCCACCUGUAGUGCUGCUGACAGUUUCUGCUGUUCAGCCUGCGGCUAUGGAUCCUGACCUGUUCACCAGAUGUGCUACCUUGUACCGGACCUGCUGUUUUGACCCUCUCCCCCUGCUUUAAGUGCUUUGAAAGGCUGGUCAUGGCUUACAUCAACACCAUCAUCCCGGAAACCCUAGACCUACUCCAAUUCGCAUACCGCCCCAACAGAUCCACAUAUGACGCAAUCUCAAUCACACUCCACACUGCCCUUUCCCACCUGGACAAAAGGAACACCUAUGUGAGAAUGCUGUUCAUUGACUUCAGCUCAGCGUUCAACACCAUAGUGCCGACAAAGCUCAUCACUAAGCUAAGGACCCUUGCAGACGGAGGUGACUAAACACCUCCCUCUGCAACUGGAUCCUGGACAUCCUGACAGGCCGCCCCAGGUGGUAAGGGUAGGCAACAACACAUCUGCCACGCUGAUCCUCAACACUGGAGCCCCUCAGGUGUGGGUGCUUAGUCCCCUCUUGUACUCCCUGUUCACCCACGACUGCGUGGCCAAACACGACUCCAACACCAUCAUUAAGUUUGUUGACGACACAACAGUGGUAGGCUUUAUCACCGACAACGAUGAGACAGCCUAUAGGGAGGUGUGGUGCCAAGACAACAACCUCUCCCUCAAUAUGAGCAAGACAAAGGAGCUGAUCGUGGACUACAGGAAAAAGCGGACUGAACAGGCCCCCAUUAACAUCAACAGGGCCGUAGUGGAGCAGGUCGAGAGUUUUAAGUUCCUUGGUGUCCACAUCACCAACGAACUAUCAUGGUCCAAACACACCAAGACAGUCGUAAAGUGGGCGCGACAACACCUAUGCCCCCUCAGGAGACUGAAUAGAUUUGGCAUGGGUCCCCAGAUCUUCAAAAAGUCGACAGCUGCACCAUCGAGAGCAGUCUGACCGGUUGCAUCACCGCCUGGUAUGGCAACUGCUCUGUAUCUGACCGUAAGGCGCUUCAAAGGGUAGUGUGUACAGCCCAGUACAUCACUGGGGCCAAGCUUCCUGCCAUCCAGGACCUACAUACUAGGUGGUGUCAGAGUAAGGCCCAAAACAUUGUCAGACUCCAGUCACCCAAGUCAUAGACUGUUCUCUCUGCUACUGAACGGCAAGCCACGUCUAGGAUCAAAAGGCUCCUUAACAGCUUCUACCCCAAACAAUUUACAUUGACCCCCCCCUUUUAAUUUUACACUGUUGCUUCUCACUGGUUAUUACCUAUGCAGUCACUUUACCCCUACCUACAUGUGCAAAUUACCUCGACUAACCUGUACCCCCGCACAGUACCCCCUGUAAAUAGCCUUGUUAUUAGUUAUUUUAUUGUGUUAUUUUUUAUUUUAAUAAAAAAAUGUUACUUUAUUUUAUUUAGUAAAUAUUUUCUGAACUCUAUUUCUUGAACUGCAUUGUUGGUUAAGGGCUUAUAAGUAAGCAUUUCACUGUGUCACGUCCUGACCAUGGUAAGCUGUUAUUUUCUAUGGUAGAGUAGGUCAGGGCGUGACAGGGUGGUUUUCUAGUUUCGUUUUUCUAUGUUUUCUAUUUCUAUGUUCAGGUUCUAGUUUUGUAUUUCUAUGUUGGGGUUUUGUUUGGGAUGAUCUCCAAUUAGAGGCAGCUGGUCCUCGUUGUCUCUAAUUGGAGAUCAUACUUAAGUAGGGUUUUUUUCCACCUGGGUUUUGUGGGAGAUUAAUUUUGAGUAGUGUAUGUUUCACUUCUGCGUCACGGUUUGUUGUUUUUUGUCAUUCAGUUUAUUGCACAGUUUCACAGUAUAAUGUAUUGCACAGUUUCACAGUAUAAAUAAAAUGUGGAACGACACACACACUGAACUUUGGUCCACUCAUUCCUACGACAACCGUGACAGAAUCUCCCACCACCAAAGGACCAAGCAGCAUGCCCAGGAGAAACAGGAAUGGACUUGGGAGGAAAUUCUGGACGGGAAAGGACCCUGGAGUCAGGCUGGGGAGUAUCGCCGUCCGAAAGAAGAAAUUGAGGCAGCUAAAGCAGAGCAACGAUAUUACGAGGCACUAUACCAGCCACGAGGCAAGUGCGAGGGGCACACGGG